Molecule: long non-coding RNA, 393 nt
Filed under: Nicotiana benthamiana
Lineage: Eukaryota; Viridiplantae; Streptophyta; Magnoliopsida; Solanales; Solanaceae
Description: long non-coding RNA (NBEN_LNC016082)
Source: RNAcentral
CCUUGUUCAGUCCAAAGAAUUCUCUGCUCAGGUUAUUAUUUCAUGGAGACCUUUAAGUUUCCAAUCACCCUUAGUUUCUGGCGGGGUUUUGCGUGGUGGGGUUGUCUUCCAUUGGAACCUUUAAGCUUCCAAUCGCCCUUAGUUUCUGGCGGGGUUCCAUUUUGCUAUCCUCUUCCAGUAACUUCAUUGCUAAAUACGUAUAUGCCAUUAAUCUAAUGAUUGAAAUUUGCGUUUGACUGGUGUGUGUUGUUUUCAAUCUCUAGCUGUUAAUGUUAACUGCGAAAACCACAUUUGGUACUUGAUCUGGUUUGUGUAGUCAUAUUCCUUCUCCUUUUUGGGGUUGCAAAAUUGUGGGACGUAUUGGUUCCUCGACCUCGAGGGAUGGAAUAAGCC